RNAcentral lists this unclassified non-coding RNA (234 nucleotides) under plant metagenome. Its description in RNAcentral is "partial contains small subunit ribosomal RNA, internal transcribed spacer 1, and 5.8S ribosomal RNA". The record is from RNAcentral.
UUUCCGUAGGUGAACCUGCGGAAGGAUCAUUAAAGUUAUAGUCCCCCGGCCCUCUGGGCUGGGGUCUUCUAUACCACCCUUUGUUUAUUACACCUUUGUUGCUUUGGCAGGCCUGCCCUCGGGCUGCUGGCUCCGGCCGGCUCGCGUCUGCCAGAGGACCUGAACUCUGUUUGUAUAUGAAGUCUGAGUACUAUAUAAUAGUUAAAACUUUCAACAACGGAUCCCUUGGUUCUG